UACGGAGGGUGCAAGCGUUAUCCGGAUUCACUGGGUUUAAAGGGUGCGUAGGCGGCCUUCUAAGUCAGACGUGAAAUCCCCCGGCUUAACCUGGGAACUGCGUCUGAUACUGGAGGGCUUGAGUGCGGGAGAGGGAUGUGGAAUUCCAGGUGUAGCGGUGAAAUGCGUAGAUAUCUGGAGGAACACCGGUGGCGAAGGCGGCAUCCUGGACCGACACUGACGCUGAGGCGCGAAAGCUAGGGUAGCAAACGGG
Molecule: ribosomal RNA, 253 nt
Filed under: uncultured bacterium
Lineage: Bacteria
Description: partial 16S ribosomal RNA
Rfam family: Bacterial small subunit ribosomal RNA
Source: RNAcentral